Molecule: long non-coding RNA, 445 nt
Organism: Cololabis saira (Pacific saury)
Lineage: Eukaryota; Metazoa; Chordata; Actinopteri; Beloniformes; Belonidae
Exons: 3
Source: RefSeq, a predicted model, not a curated record
CUGCAGCUGCAGGUGUGUCCGGGCAGAGCGGGUCCUCUAAUGGCAACCAAGCAAAUCAACCUCGAUUUCAAACACAACAGUACUUCGGCGGAUGGGCUUCCAGCAGGUCGAGGAGGAGAUUUAAAGAGGGACUGAAAACCCUUGGUGUCCUGGAUGCCAUGAGGACGUACCCGGAGAGUUUUAGACCCUUGCUGUGCCAUCAACCACCUCCACUCACAGCCAACUCCAUGGAUCAGCUCUUCCGAAUUAGACUGUCUGUAGCAGGAAGCAACAAAAGAAUGGCAGAGGAACGUGUUGUGCCACUUUGGAGAGAUUAAUUGCUGGAUGUUGAGGAGGAGACCGGAGCCUCAAAGCUAAGCGACGUCUUAGCCUUUGCAACUGGUGCAAGCAUCGUCCCACCAAUUGGCUUCUCUCCUCAACCAACAAUUGCUUUCCUACAUGACCA